Molecule: long non-coding RNA, 593 nt
Organism: Schistocerca piceifrons (Central American locust)
Lineage: Eukaryota; Metazoa; Arthropoda; Insecta; Orthoptera; Acrididae
Exons: 3
Source: RefSeq, a predicted model, not a curated record
AGCACUACGAACUCUUCAUAUUGAACUUGAUUUCUCGAAUGUGCCUUUGGUAAUAAGGAGUGGAAUAUUUUUUGGACAGGAUGGAUCCUUGGCAAUAAUGCAUUAUGUCAAUGAAAUCUAUCCCUUGGUGUUGGAUCAAGUGUGGCACUGUUGUUUACCAAAGUCACUUGACCCUCUUCUAAACUAUCAUUUUUCAGGAUAGUUAACUGAAGUGUCCAAACAAGAUAGUCAAAAGAUCUACCAAUCACACAGCCGAGAGAAAUGUUGCGACUACUACCGAUACGUUUAACAUUGUGCCACGCCUCUGGGAUCACACCUUUGGAUAUGAGAUGAGGCAGGCCCCAGCCAGCCAAAUCCAGAAGCGAUGGUGUUGAUUUCGACCUGUUUCCAGCAGCAAUAAGGCGCCAAUUUGAUAUCGUCACCAUGGCCUUCGUCCAGACAGCAGCAACUCUCCAGCAUUACGUCAGACCUGAGGAGUCCCAGCGACAAUCGCUGCACCCCACAAUGGGAACUGGUCACUAUUUAUAAUUACAAUUCUUUUUCACAGAAAACUUGCUGUGGAUAUGUAACAACUAUUUUUGCAUUAUAAUUAU